This is a non-coding RNA of Podarcis muralis (Common wall lizard), 519 nucleotides long. Lineage: Eukaryota; Metazoa; Chordata; Lepidosauria; Squamata; Lacertidae. The record is from the annotation of a RefSeq genome assembly.
AUAUAGGAAAAGAGAAAGUGCACAUUGAUAAUUCAUUGAACUGGAGAAGACGGCGACCUUAGUUUCUUCUGAAUUUCCAGACCUUACUAGGAGGGAUCUGCGUUUGUGAGAGCGUCCGCGUUCUUCAGAAUGACCUCAAGAGUCCACCCAGCUCACUGGAUUCUCCUUGGGCUAUUUCUGCUGUGCAGAGAUAUCAGUGGUGAUGCUUCUCAGCUUUCUGAAGUCUCCUUUUCUUCUGGAGAAACAGCUCGGAUCUUCUGUAAACAUGGAGUCUCUAAUUAUAAUGGGGUCUUCUGGUACAAGCAAACCAGAGAUGCAGCCCCUUCCUUAGUCAUCUACAGUUACUCUAAAACUGAGAAGAAAGAACGGUUGGAGAUGGACACUGACAAAGGGAAUCUGUCUACAGAGCUGUCCAUCAGCAAGGUGGAGAUGGGGGACGCCGGGAUCUACCAUUGUGCUGCAAGUGACACAGUGGUGGGAAAUGCAAGGCGAGCUGCACAAAAACCUGAAGAGCUUUGA